ACUCUUAUAUGGCUCAUUUCAUGCAUCGGUUUAAAGGCUUGACCAAGGCAUCAAGGCUAAACUCAAGUCGGCACAAAGGACGCAAAAGGCCAAGAAAUCAGGGAGAUUGAUGAAGGGGAGUGAUCAAGCAAUUAGGCGGGGACCAUUGGCAAAGAGAAGAGGACACGUGCCGAUACAAAGGACACCAUCCUGCUAUGAAGGGACCACUGUCUUCUAGAAAGAGGAAUACGUGUCGACCAAAGAGACGCGCGGUCCUGAAAGAAAGCGAAUAUUCGCCGACAAGGUUGUUAUCCCUGCUGGAGGAUCGCUGCGGCGUGCCUAUAAAUAGAGGCUGCGACACCACAAUAGAGAAUCCUUUAUCCACUUUCUAGUUAGUUCUUAGUUUUAGCUUAGUUUAGUUAACUUUCAUUCCAGUUCUUAGCUAGCUUAGUUUAGAAUUUCAGUUAGUGAAGCGUAAGUGAUUCAGUGCGAUAGAGGCUUCAGUUCUGUCCGGCACAGUUUCCAGUUUCCGACCGAGAAUCGCUCGGCCUUUACUAGCUUUAUGUUCUUUCAAUUUCGUAGCUAGUUUUCGUUUUGGACGAGAUCUAUUCUGGAAUCAAAGUUCUUUUGUUUUCGGAUCUUCAA
Salvia splendens (bonfire salvia) is the source of this 624-nucleotide long non-coding RNA. RefSeq lists it as uncharacterized. Lineage: Eukaryota; Viridiplantae; Streptophyta; Magnoliopsida; Lamiales; Lamiaceae. The transcript is spliced from 2 exons. The record is from RefSeq and is a predicted model, not a curated record.